This is an RNA transcript of Adelges cooleyi (spruce gall adelgid), 2048 nucleotides long. It is a transcript of the gene named pre-piRNA 3'-exonuclease trimmer-like, with no coding region annotated. The transcript has 9 exons. The record is from RefSeq and is a predicted model, not a curated record. Lineage: Eukaryota; Metazoa; Arthropoda; Insecta; Hemiptera; Adelgidae.
UAUUAGCUAUAGUUUCUUAAUUAAUAAUAUUAAGUUUAAGUGAUUUUAUAAAUUACAAUAUGAGUGAGAUAACUUCAGAAAAUUUUUUUUCUGAAUUGCCUAUUAUUGAAACCAAAUUAAAAGAUUCAGCAUUUGUAUGUUUUGAUUUAGAAUUCUCUAAAUUGAACGACGAAAAGCAUGCUCCAUUCACAUUUUUUGACACCCUUGAAGAACGAUAUCAUAAAUUACAUUUAAAAGUAUCUGAUAUUACUUGUAUACAACUCGGGCUAUCUUUUUUUGUAUAUGAUGCACACGAUAAAGUAUUUCAAGUCAGCUCUUAUUCAUUCUACACAUUCCCUAAAACUUAUUUAAAAUAUGAUGGUAUAAUCAAGUUCCAAACAUCAUGUGUUGAAUUCUUAUGCAAGCAUAACUUUAAUUUUAAUAAGUUAUUUAACAAUGGUAUAUCCUACUUGACUGACGAACAAGAAAACCAAAUGAAGUUGGAAAUGGCAGAUGAUUCGUUUUCAGACAGUUAUUUAAAAAAAUCAAAAUAUCGUAUAAUUAAUGAAGAAAUGUGUCAUCAAUUAAAAAUUGUUACUGAAUGGUAUGAAAAUGCAAUUGAUGGAGAUAAUAUAUCAGUAAAGAAAUUGAAAAGCAAUGAUCCAGUUUUUACAUAUUUACUCCAAUACCAUAUCAUGAACAAAUGUGAACAUGUGUGCUUACAAGAGGAUCUUCAUACUAUUAAUAUAAUAAAAAUAACCAGUAAAGAUGAAAAGUCCAACACAUUAAAUGCUAAAAACAAUGAAGCCUCUAAACAAAUAUUAUUUAAAAAAAUGUUAGGUAUCAAACAUUUAUUAAAUUUACUAUCAGAAACAAAAAAACCAUUAGUUGGUCAUAAUUGUGCUAUGGAUAUAUUAAUAUUGUGCAACCAAUUUUAUAAUCCAUUACCUGAUACCUUCAAAGAAUAUAAAUCUUUUCUUUCUAACAAAUUUGGACCAAUUUAUGACACAAAGCUUAUGUGCAAAACAUUUAGAAAGUUAUUGCCAAAAAACGUUAACUGGGAUGGAAGUUCUCUUUCUGAGAUUUAUACAUUUUUAAAAGAUGGAGAUGCAAAAAUAUACUCCGAUGCACUUUUUAUCCAACCAUCUAUUGUUGAAGAGAGAAAUGAAAUGAAAUUGCAUCAUGCAGGUUGGGAUGCAUAUUACACUGGAUAUUGUUUUGUCAAAAUCAUUCAUAUUACUAAAAAUUUUUCUAGUAAAACGGAAAAUGUUAAUCGAAGAUACACUCUAACUGAACUUUUAAAAUCCGUAGAUUUACUAAAAAACAAAAUGUUCACUAGCAGGUUAUUAACAAAUUGCAUUGUAAGUACAAUAUAAUAUUGAGCAGAUGCAGGUGCAGACUCGCAAAGAAAGACAUGACAUGAAUAUCUUAAAUUUAGUAUGAAAUAUAAAAUCUAUUUUUUUUUUAAACUUAUAAACCAAACUUUUUAACUUCCAAAAAUGUAAUAAUCACUAUAAUAUACUUUUAAUGAUAUUGGUGUAAAAAUAUUGGGACAACAAACAUUUUUAAAUCACAAUUAAAACAAAAACGAAUAAUAUAUUUAAUACAAUAUAAUAAUUUAUUAAAAAUAAAAAAUAAAAAAAAACAUGAUGGUGGGGCGUGUUCCUUGUCAAUUUGUGAAAUUGUUUAGUUAUAAUCACUAUUCAAAUUAUCUAUUAUAAAUUUAUAAUCACUGUCUAUUGACUUUUGUUUUCUCCCUUGGAGGUUUUGGUACAUGAGGUCCUUAGAAAUCUCACUAUCUCCAAUUUCGGUUUAGUUUGGUGUUGAAAAAGUGUGAAACAAAGUAGGCCUUUGUUUGUCUAUUAUAUCUAAAAUACAAUGCGCACUGAGUUUAUCAUAAGGCUUUAUGUUUACAAAUACUAAUAGAAUAAGUAAUGCAAAUUGUUAUUACUUAUUUACACUCUAGGACAAAGAAUACUAGAAUUUUUCCCUACCAGAUUUAGAAGCUGAUGAUAAUAAUGUCUUACCGGAAUGUCUAAUAAUUAAAUCAAAAGGGUUAUUUCCGAAAU